GUGAAUCAUCGAAUCUUUGAACGCAAAUUGCACUCUCUGGCAUUCCGGGGAGUAUGCCUGUUUGAGGGUCAGUUGAAAUAAAAAUCGAGGUGUUGCUGUUUUGUGACCCAUCGGAAUGGGGUUAUUUUUGACUUUUUAAAAAGUUUAAGUAACCUAAAAUUGAUACCAUGUGCAUCUUAGACGACCAUUAGAA
RNAcentral lists this unclassified non-coding RNA (193 nucleotides) under Glomeraceae sp. RNAcentral's name for it is "partial contains 5.8S ribosomal RNA and internal transcribed spacer 2". The stretch from base 1 to 71 matches the Rfam family "5.8S ribosomal RNA", at positions 84 to 154 of the family's 154-position model. Lineage: Eukaryota; Fungi; Glomeromycota; Glomeromycetes; Glomerales; Glomeraceae. The record is from RNAcentral.